RNAcentral lists this ribosomal RNA (137 nucleotides) under Cercospora sesami. Its description in RNAcentral is "5.8S ribosomal RNA". It matches the Rfam family "5.8S ribosomal RNA", at positions 1 to 136 of the family's 154-position model. Rfam says of the family: 5.8S ribosomal RNA (5.8S rRNA) is a component of the large subunit of the eukaryotic ribosome. It is transcribed by RNA polymerase I as part of the 45S precursor that also contains 18S and 28S rRNA. Functionally, it is thought that 5.8S rRNA may be involved in ribosome translocation. The record is from RNAcentral. Lineage: Eukaryota; Fungi; Ascomycota; Dothideomycetes; Mycosphaerellales; Mycosphaerellaceae.
AAACUUUCAACAACGGAUCUCUUGGUUCUGGCAUCGAUGAAGAACGCAGCGAAAUGCGAUAAGUAAUGUGAAUUGCAGAAUUCAGUGAAUCAUCGAAUCUUUGAACGCACAUUGCGCCCCUUGGUAUUCCGAGGGGC